UCAAUAAAAGAGGAAGAGACUGAAGUUCCGAUUUCCACCAGAGAGAGACAUGACUAUCCUGGAUCCUCUGGGGAGCCUCAACAACAUUCUGAUGCUGACGAGGCAGAGAAGAGUCUCUCCAGAUCAAAACACCAGAUGGACAACGCUAGCCCUUCCUCCCUCCCAGAGUCCCCGUGUCGUGCCUCUCCUGGUAGCACGUUACUGCUGGGUAUGAAGAGGUUGUCUGUGCUGCUGGUGGACUGCAGGAAAACAACAGGGCUGAGUGGAACUGUG
Molecule: long non-coding RNA, 273 nt
Organism: Oncorhynchus masou masou (cherry salmon)
Lineage: Eukaryota; Metazoa; Chordata; Actinopteri; Salmoniformes; Salmonidae
Exons: 3
Source: RefSeq, a predicted model, not a curated record